CUUAAAUCUGAGGUCAUAGUGAGGCUGCCCUUAUUAUUAAUUCAAACCUAUAAUAUAUCUAGAUAUAUAUAUGCAUAGGAGACUGGUCCUCUCUUGCCAUCAUUCUCAAUCUUUAAACUAUAGUGUAACAUUAUUUUGUCUGUUUUUAGUAUGGAGCAGCAAAAUAUUUGCAUAUAUACAUGUCAAGUAUGCACUGCAUAUUAUGAAGGUUUCAUGCUGAGUAAUUAGUUCAUCACUCCCUCCCUCCUACGAAGUGCUCACUUCUCAGUAUCUGUCAUUACCAUGGCGCCUUCUCCUCCGCUGCUGCAACCACGUCCACGGCCGCACCGCCGCCUCCUUCACUUCACAACUUCCGCUUUUUGUAUUGCUGAAAAGGUGAUGACAAGUUUUUAACAUCUGAUGAUCAAGUUUGGGGAAAUUGCUGCUGGUUUUUUUUUUUUUUUUUUUCGUGUAGGCCGUACAAGUUUGUUUGUUCAUGAAUCAUGAUAUACGAUUUAACUCUUUGUAAUCAAGAAUCAAACAUUUGACUUUGUGUGACAAAUGGAAGGUUAGUUUUGUUUUUAA
Molecule: long non-coding RNA, 564 nt
Organism: Salvia miltiorrhiza (redroot sage)
Lineage: Eukaryota; Viridiplantae; Streptophyta; Magnoliopsida; Lamiales; Lamiaceae
Exons: 2
Source: RefSeq, a predicted model, not a curated record